GGUUACUUUUCCUUUAAGAAUAAACUUUGGGUCUUCUAAAGACUUAAAGAAACUAAAUCAGGUGAGAAGAAUUUAGGAUAUUUUACCAUCUGGAGUUUCUCUGCCUCACUGGUGAUUUAAACUCAAACCUGCCAGUUUAUGCAAGAUGAUAGAAAGUACCCUGUAACAUCUGAGAGAAAAUGGAAAAAAAAAACAACAGAAGUACUUUUAAUGGAACAGAAUAAACCACUGAACAGGUACCAGAAAUUAUUAGGAGUUGGGUACAACAUAAUUAAACGAGUUAAUAUUUGUGAAGUCCUUAGAAGGUUACCUGGCAUGUUUAAAUAACUGCAUACGUGUUUGCUAUUAUUAAGUUCCUUUAAAUGUACCUUAGCCCAGAACAAAUCAGUAGUACAGCCAAGAACUACCCAACAACAACAACAAAAAACCCUUUUCCCCUAAAGCAAGUGUGAACAUCAUUGGUAAAUGCUGUCAUGGUCUCUGUAUGACUUGUUAUAGUGGUCUGAGAAACUUAAUUUCUUAAUCUCUGAGCCCUCUGAGUGUUUGAAUACCCAUUCAUUUUUGGUUUUGAGCACUCAUUCAUGAUGACUUUUAAGUGUCAGAUCAGUUUCAAUUUUUUGGAAUAAAGCAAGCUUCCUUAAAAUUCUCCA
RNAcentral lists this long non-coding RNA (650 nucleotides) under Sus scrofa (pig). RNAcentral's name for it is "lncRNA (ENSSSCG00070026892.1)". Lineage: Eukaryota; Metazoa; Chordata; Mammalia; Artiodactyla; Suidae. The record is from RNAcentral.